UUGCAUAUAGGCUUACAUAGAGAACAAUUGCAACCCAAUAUUGGAUUUAUUUUUCAAAAUUUUCAAAUUUGUAAAUUGUGUUAAAUGACCAGAAUAUAUUAUGUCAAAGGAUGUGUGUUUUUUGGUGCUUGUUACAUGUUCCAGCACACCAAUCACAUACAUUAUAGCGUGAAAUAGCAUUGUACUUUUGUCCCUUCGGAAUUUUUAGAGUGAGAUCGUUCUGUAAUAUGAUUUCUAUGGACACAAAUGGCAUGAAGUGUUUUUCUUUCUCCAACUUAUCCUUGGGCACAAGUAACACAAAGCUACAGAAAAGAAAAAACAUAACUUUAAUCAAUCAAAAGUAGUAAAAAAAAUAGAUUACUCUAGAAAUAUGAAUAUUUACCUUAUUGUUGAUGUUAUUGAAUGUCCCUGAAAUCAUGUGUAGUGUAUCUAUAUUUAGCAUCAUGAAGAGAAAAAGAAAAUCAAAGGAUUCGAACCAAUUUGACAAAUUGUUUCAUCUUAUCGAACAUUAUUUAGUCUUUCAAUCAAAAGUUCUUCUGUAAGCGAAAACCUGUCAUUUGAGAUUGCAAAUUAUGUAAUACUAUCAGCAACAACAGAAGAAACAAAAAAAUGGGAAUAGAAAUAUUGCAUCAUUUACAUACAAAAGAAAUGCUAAAAUCAUGAAACUACUAAAUGAAAAAGUGGAAGAAACAAAACAAAUAUAGUGAUUUUGAUGGGUUCCAAUCUUUUGUACUAAAAUGACCAUUUUGUCAUUCAUCUUGAAUAAAUAGAGUAUAUUUGCAAAACACAUUAAAUCAUAAUUUUUUUUCCAUAUCUUACGUAUAAACUAUCUCAUAAUAUAUGUAGAGGUGGUUAAUUACCGUAUUGUCCCCAUGGGAUGAGGCAAGUAUUUGGUCUUUUUUUGUUAUAUUCUAUCAUCAUAAGGUAUAUAUAUAAUUAAUACACCAUGAUCCAUAGUUAACUAUGAUGAUUCCAUUCAAUGUUAUGUACGAAUUGUUUCAGAACCUAAAAUGCAUAAAUGAAUUCCAAAGCUAAAUUGUUAACUGUGAACAAAUAUAUUCUUUGUAGGAUACUAAGAGUGAUUAAACUGAUAUCAUUAGGGUAUGGCAAAAAAUACCUUUUCGUGUUUUGUUUGACCUCCAUUAAUAAGAAAACUUUAUAGAUUCUCAGUCGUCAAAAAACAAAACCCUGAGUAAACACAAAGGAGAACAUAAACACAGUUAAAGAAGUUAAAAGCUAUGAUAGACCCUUAUGACCUUACCACCGACCUCACUUUGAUUAACACACACAAAAAAUGCCCAUCCACCCACCCUUACUUUGAUAGCAUCAUAACCCAAUUUAACACACACCAAACACAUGCUAUAUACCCCGGUCCCUCACCCCUUACCAUAGUUGAAGAUAUAGGAAUCAUAAACCUGAUUAUACGACCUGUGAAACACCAGAAGUAAAUAAUUAGUUAAUAAAAUCUGAAUUUGAAGGAUCAUUAACUUGAUAGAAGGAAUACAUGUAUGAAGAUUAGUGUCCUAAUUAGAUAACAACUGAUCAAAUUUGUAAUACUGGUCCUCACAUGGAAGAAUGAGAGGAUCGAUUAGUGUCUCCAAAUCACGAUAAUUGACAAAAUCGACCGAAGUUGGAGUCGGAGAAUGACGGAACGAAAUUGGAAGAAUCGGAAAGAAACACCCCCAAACCGGAAAAACUUUUGGAGUCUAUGACUGACCUACCUUAUAGUGCAGCAACGUCGGCAACAAACAACAAAAGGAGUGGAUGGAAUUUAGGAGAGCGAGGUUUAAGAAGGAAUUGAGAUGAGAGGAAUCGAUUUGGAAAAGAAAAAAGGAAAAGGAGGUGGAAGAAUCUGGAAUUUCUGAGAGAAAGAUGGACCGGUGAGAGCAGUUGUCGACAUAGUGAUCUUUGUAGUGGAAGCCAAAAGGUUUAUGAGAGAAAGUAUUGGGGGUGGAUGGGAGAAAAAGGCGGUGGGAGAUAAC
Molecule: long non-coding RNA, 1982 nt
Filed under: Lactuca sativa (garden lettuce)
Lineage: Eukaryota; Viridiplantae; Streptophyta; Magnoliopsida; Asterales; Asteraceae
Description: long non-coding RNA (LSAT_LNC000840)
Source: RNAcentral